CAGAAAGUCUAGAAGGCAAAUUUUAAGUCAGAAUUGUAUGCAGCACUAAAAAAAUUUUUAAGAAGAUUUGGUGAGGCAACAUAUGUAGGUGGUUUCAUCUGGAAGUCAGAGGAAAACGCUCCUUGGAUAUAAUACAGUGGCUAAGUACAUGGUCUCAUAGGUUUUGAGGCAAGUUUUGUUGAUUUUCCCACUACUAUAUUUACCAUAGCAUGCAUAUUUAAGUCGACAAAGUCCAGUGGCAAGACAAAAGUCAG
This is a non-coding RNA of Phascolarctos cinereus (koala), 254 nucleotides long. NCBI's taxonomy places the organism in Eukaryota, Metazoa, Chordata, Mammalia, Diprotodontia, Phascolarctidae. The record is from RefSeq and is a predicted model, not a curated record.